RNAcentral lists this long non-coding RNA (601 nucleotides) under Medicago truncatula (barrel medic). RNAcentral's name for it is "lncRNA gene15906". The record is from RNAcentral. Lineage: Eukaryota; Viridiplantae; Streptophyta; Magnoliopsida; Fabales; Fabaceae.
UUAUUGAGAUGCAUUGAGUUUUAAGAAUAGACGACAAACCUUAGGAUUCAAUAAGUGUAUUGGAGAUUGUCCAUCAAAGAGGUUCUCGGUAGUAAACGUUGAAUCCACACUCUGUGGGUGUUUAAAUUCUUGCUAAAGACUAAUGUGUCCCUUGAUAAUUUUGAGGGGCUAUUGUAGACUUUUUUUAAGUACUAAAAUUGGGUUUUGACAUUUUGUAAAAAUAAAUUGGGUUUGACAUUUUUUUAAGACAAAUAUUUUACUCAAAACAUAUCUCUAUGGUAUAUAUGUAUGCGUGUGCUUAGUGCUUUCUCUUUUACGUGACUGGACACUCUCGUGGUUGAAGAGUUCAAUUUAAUCUUGGCCAUAGAAAAAUUAUGAAUGGGAAAGAUUUUAAAAAAAUAUAAAAAUGAGAGAAAUAAACGUUUAAGGGUGAGAAUAUAACAUGAGAGGAAAUGGGUGGAGUUAAAUUAGAGAAUCCUUUUUUUCACAUAAAGAAAAAAGUGAAUCCUUUUCCUUUUCUAGUUUCUACUCAUAAAAGAGGGGCAAGUUUGUAAAGUUUAGUUUUUUUUUGACAAGAGUUUAUAAGUUUAGUUUAUUUUCC